UCUGAUCUGCAAAGAAGUUCAGUCUGUCCUUUUCUCAGAUGCCACAUAUCAGUGAAAGUGUUUGAUGUUGGUGUGUCAUUGUAUGGUUGACUUCACUUAGCAUGAUAGUUUCUAGGUCCAUCCAUGUUGCUAAGAAUGCCAGUAUUUUGUUCAUUUUAAUGGCUGAGUAAUAUUCCAUUGUGUAUAUGUACUACAUCUUCUUGAUCCACUCCUCUGUUGAUGGACAUUUAGGUUGUUUCCACGUCUUGGCUAUUGUAAAUAGUACUGCAAUGAACAUUGGAGUACAUAUGUCUUUGCAAGUCAUGGUUUUCUCUGGAUAGAUGCCCAGGAGUGGGAUUGCUGGAUCAAAUGGUAGUUCUAUCUGCGGAACUCCAUACUGCUUUUCACAGUGGUGGCACCAAUUUACAAUCCCACCAACAGUGUCAUAGGGUUCCUUUUUCUCCACACCCUCUCUCACACUUAUUGUUUGUAGACUUUUGGAUGAUGACCAUUUUGGCUGUUGAAAGGUGGUAACUUAGAAUGGUUUUGAGUUCCAUUUCUCUAAUAAUGAGUGAUGUUGAACAUCCUUUCAUGUGUUUCUUGGCCAUCUGUAUGUCUUCUUUGGAGAACUGUCUGUUCAGAUCUUCUGCCCAUGUUUUGAUGAGAUUGUUUGGUUUUUUGGUAUGGAGCUGCAGAAGGUGUUUAUAAAUUUUGGAGAGCAAUCCCUUGUCGGUUGAUUCACUUGCAAAGAUUUUCUCCCAUUCUGUGGGUUGUCUUUUCGUUUUGGUUAAGGUUUUCUUUGCUGUGCAGAAACUUUUCAGUUUGAUUAGGUCCCAUUUGUUUAUUUUUGUUUUUAUUGUCAUUCCUCUAAGAGGUGGAUCAGAGAAGAUAUUGCUGUGGUUUAUAUCGAAGAGGGUUUGGCCUAUGUUUCCUCUCAGAGCUUUAUAGUGUCUGGUCUUAUAUCUAGGUCUUUAAUCCAUUUGGAGUUUAUUUUUGUGUAUGGUGUUAGGGAGUGAUCUAAUGUCGUUCUUUUCCAUGUGGCUGUCCAGUUUUCCCAGCACCACUUAUUGAACAAGCUGUCCUUUCUCCAUUGUAUAUCCUUGUCUCCUUUUUCAUAGAUUAGUUGGCUGUAGGUGCAUGGGUUUAAUUCUGGGCUUUCUAUCCUGUUCCACUGAUCUAUAUUUCUGUCUUUGUGCCAGUACCAUGUAGUUUUGAGGAUUGUUGCUUUGUAGUAUAGUCUGAAGUCCGGGAGCCUGAUUCCUCCAGCUCCAUCUUUCUUUUUCAGGAUGUCUUUGGGUAUUCCGGGUCUUUUGUGCUUCCAAACAAACUUUAAAAUAUUUUGUGCAAGUUCUGUGAAAAAUGUCCUUGGUAGUUUGAUAGGGAUUGCAUUGAUUCUGUAGAUUGCCUUAGGUAGUAUAGUCAUUUUGAUAAUAUUGACUCUUCCAAUCCAAGAGCAUGGUAUGUCUUUCCAUCUAUUUGCGUCAUCUUUGAUUUCUUUCAUCAGUGUCUUAUAGUUUUCAGAAUACAGGUCUUUUGUCUCUUUAGGUAGGUUUACUCCUAACUAUUUUAUUCUUUUGGAUGUGAUGGUAAACGGGAUUGCUUCCCUAAUUUCUCUUUCUGCUCUUUCAUUGUUAGUGUGUAGAAAUGCUGUCGAUUUCUGUGUAUUAAUUUUGUAUCCUGCGACUUUGCCAAAUUCGUCGAUGAGCUCUAAGAGUUUUCUGGUAGAGUCUUCAGGAUUCUCUAGGUAUAGUAUCAUGUCAUCUGCAAAUAGUGAUAGUUUUACUUCUUCAUUUCCAAUUUGGAUUCCUUUUAUUUCUUUUACUUCUCUGAUUGCUGUGGCUAGGACUUCCAGAACUAUGUUGAAGAGUAGUGGCUAGAGUGGACAUCCUUGUCUUGUUCCUGAUCUCAGCAGGAAUUCUUUCAGCUUUUCACCAUUGAGAAUGAUGUUCGCUUUGGGUUUGUCAUAUAUGGCCAUUAUCAUGUUGAGGUAGGUUCCUGCUCUGUCCACUUUCUGAAGAGUUUUUAUCAGAAAUGGGUGUUGGAUUUUGUCAAACGCUUUUUCCACAUCUAUUGAGAGGAUCAUAUGGUUUUUAUUCUUCAGUUUGUUAAUGUGGUGAAUCACACUGAUGGAUUUGCGGAUAUUGAAGAAUCCUUGCAUCCCUGGUAUAAAUCCCACUUGACCAUGAUGUACAAUCCUUUUAAUGUAUUGUUGGAUGUGGUUUGCUAGGAUUUUGUUGAGGAUUUUUGCAUCAUGUUCAUCAGUGAAAUUGGCCUGUAGUUUUCUUUUUUUUUUGGUAUCUUUGUCUGGUUUUGGUAUCAGGGUGAUGAUGGCCUCAUAGAAUGAGUUUGUGAGUGUCCCUUCCUCUGCAAUUUUUUGAAAUAGUUUCAGAAAGAGAGGUGUUAGCUCUUCUCUAAAUGUUUGAUAGAAUUCUCCUGUGAAGCCAUGUGGUACUAGACUUAUGUUUGUUGGAAGUUUUUUAAUCACAGUUUCAAUUUCAGUUCUUGUGAUUGGUCCAUUCAUCUUUGAGUCUUGGAAGAUUGUACUUUUCUAAGAAUUUGUCCAUUUCUUCUAGGUUUUCCAUUUUAUUGGCAUAUAGUUUCAUAUAGUAGUCUCUUAUGAUCCUUUGUAUUUCUGUGAUGUCCCUUGUUACUUCUCCUUUUUUAUUUCUAAUUUUAUUGAUUUGAGUCUUCUCUCUUUUUUGCUUGAUAAGUCUGGCUAGGGUUUUAUCAAUUUUGUUGAUCUUUUCAAAGAACCAUCUUUUCGUUUCAUUGAUCUUUUCUAUGGUUUUCGUUGUUUCUAUUUCAUUGAUUUCUGCUCUGAUCUUUAUGAUUUCUUUCCUUCUACUAACUUUAGGUCUUGUCUGUUCUCUCUUGAGCUGCUUUAGGUGUAAAGUUAGGUUGUUUAUUUGAGCUUUUCUUGUUUCCUGAGGUAGGCUUGUAUUGCUCUAAACUUUCCUCUUAGAAUGGCUUUUGCUGCAUCCCAUAGGUUUUGAAGUGUCGUAUCUUUGGUGUCAUUUGCUUCUAGGUAUUUUUUAAUUUCCUCUCUGAUUUCUUCAGUGACCCAUUGGUUGUUUAGUAGCAUGUUGUUUAGUCUCCUUAUGUUUGUGUUUUUUGCAGUUUUUUUUCUUGUGGUUGACUUCCAGUCGUAUAGUGAAGUGGUCAGAAAAAAUGCUUGAUAUGAUUUCAAUUUUCUUAAAGUUACCAUGGUUGGACUUGUAGCCCAGGAUAUGAUCAUUCUUAGAGAAUGUUCCAUGUGCACUUGAGAAGAAUGUGUAUUCUGUUGCUUUUGGAUGGAAUGUCCUGUAAAUAUCUGUUAAGUCCAUCUAAUUCAAUGCUUCAUUCAGGGCCUGUGUUUCCUUAUUGAUUUUCUGUCUGGAUGAUCUGUCCAUUGCUAUGAGUGAGUUGUUAAAGUGCCCACUAUUAUUGUAUUAUUGUAGAUUUCUCCUUUUAAGGUUUUUAGCAGUUGCGUUAUAUGUUGUGUCGAACCUAUGUUGGGUGCGUAGAUAUUUAGAAUUGUUAUAUUUUCUUCUUGGAUUAAUCCUUUUAUCAUUAUGUAAUGUCCUUCCUUUUCUUUUAAAACAUUUUUCAUUUUAAAGUCUAUUUUGUCUGAUAUGAGUAUUGCUACUCCAGCUUUCUUUUGAUCCCCGUUUGCAUGAAAUAUUUUCUUCCAUCCUCUCACUUUCAAUUUGUAUGUGUCCCUAGAAGUGAAGUGGGUCUCUUGAAGACAGCAUAUAUAUGCCUCUUGUUUUUGUAUCCAUUCAGCCAUUCUAUGUCUUUUGGUUGGGGCUUUAGUCCAUUCACAUUUAAGGUAAUUAUUGAUAUGUAUGUUCUUAUUGCCAUUUUAUUAACUACUUUGGAUUUGUUUUUGCUGCUCUUUUUCCUUUCCUUCCUCUAUUGUUCUUUUCUGCCUAGAGAAGUUCCUUUAGUAUUUUUUGUAAGGCUGGUUUAAUGUUGUUGAAUUCUCUCAGCUUUUGCUUAUCUGUGAAGGUUUUGAUUUCUCCUUCAAAUCAGAAUGCGAGCCUUGCUGGGUAGAGUAAUCUUGGUUGGAGGUUUUUUCCUUUCAUCACAUUAAGUAUAUCAUGCCACUCCCUUCUGGCCUUCAGAGUUUCUGCUGAAAAAUCUGCCGAUAGCCUUAUCUGGGUUCCCUUGUAUGUUACUUGUUUCUUUUCCCUAGCUGCUUUCAAGAUUUUCUCUCUGUCUUUAAUAUGGUCAGUUCGAUUAAUAUGUGUCUCAGGGUUUUCCUCCUUGGGUUUAUUUUAUAUGGUACUUGCUGUGCUUCCUGGAUUUGAGUGAGUGAUUCCUUUCCCAUGUGAGGGCAGUUUUUGGCUAUUAUCUCUUGGAUUAUUUUUUCUGUCUCCUUCGAUCUCUCUUCUCCUUCAGGCACCCCUAUAAUAUGGAUGUUGGUGCGUUUAAUGUUUUCCCAGAGUUCUCUGAGACUCUCUUCAUUUGUUUUCAAUCUUUUUUCUCUUUUUUGUUCUGCAUCCGUAAUUUCCACUAAUCGGUCCUCCACCUCGCUUAUUCAUUCUUCUGCCUCCUGUAUUCUGCUGUAAGCUUCUUCUAGUGAAUUUUUUAUUUCAGUUAUUGUAUUUUGUGUCUCUUCUUGUUUAAGUUUUAUAUCUUGUAUCUCUUUGCUCAGUGUUUCCUGUAAGUUAUCCAUCUUUGCCUCCAGUUUAUUCCCAAUGUUUUGCAUCAUCUUCAGCAUCAACAGUCUAACGUCUUUUUCCUGGAGUCUGAGUAUCUCCUCAUCCCUUAGCUGUUUUUCUGUGGUUUUUCCUUUCUCCCUCAUCUGAGUUAUAGUUCUCAGUCUUUUCAUUUUUAUAGGUUUUUGGUGUUGUGACCUUUGUACACAUAAUAGAGUUGUAGCCUCUCUUUCUUCUGGUGGCUGCCCCCCUUGUGGCUGAAUUUGGUCUGGGGGCUUGCAGUAGGCCUCCUGUUGGGAGGGGCUGAUGCCUGCCCACUGAUAGGUGGAGCUGAUUCUAAUCCCUGUGGUGGGUGGGGCUUAGUCUCUGGAUGAGAUUAGAGGCAGCUGUGUGCCUGAGGGGUCUUUAGGUAGCCUGUUUACUGAGGGGCAGGGCUGUGAUUCCACCUGGGUUUUUGUUUGCCCUGGGGCUUCUCAGCACUGACUGAUGGGUGGGGCCAGAUUUUCCCCAGAGCUUUGCUUUCAAUGUCCUUCCCUCACAACAAGCCACAUUCACCCCUGUUUUCCCAUGAUGUCCUCCAAGAACUGCAGUCAGGUUUGACUCAGAUUCCCAUGGAGACUUUGCUUUGCCCUGGGUCCCAGUGCACAUGAAAGUCUGUGUGUGCCUUUUAAGAAUGGGGUCUCUGUUUCCCCCAGUCCCAUGAAGCCACUGUGCACAGGCCCCACUGGCCUUCAAUGCCAGAUGCUCCAGGGCUCUUUCUCCCCAUGCCAGAUCCCCACAUGUGAGAAUUUAAUGUGUGGCUCAGAACUCUCACUUCUGUAGGUGAGUCUCUGUGAACCAGUUAGUUUCCAGUCUAUGGGGCUUCCCACCCAGGAGGUAUGGGGUUGUUUAUAUCUCAAAAUCGCCCCUCCUACCUUUUGAUGUGUCCUCCUCUUUGUCUUCUGGAGUAGGAUGUCUUUUUUAAGGUUUCCAGUCCAUUUGGGUGAAGAGCACUCAGCCUUUAGUUGUGAAUUUUGCUGUUUUUAGGAGAGAAGUUGAGCUCCAGUCCUUCUAUUGAGCCAUCUUAAUCCCAUCCAGAAAGAUGCCCAAAUGUUUUUUAUGGUUGUGUUUUCAUUGUCAUUUUUCUCAGGUAUUUUUACAUUUCCUUUUUGAUUUCCUUGUGGAUUGGUUUUUUAGUAGCAUGCUGUUUAGUCUCCAUGUAGUCAGUUUUUUCUCAUUUCUUUUCCUGUGGUUGAUUUCUAGUUUCAUGCCCUUGUGGUCAGGGAAGAUGCUUGAAGUAAUAAUUUCUGUACUCUGAAAUUUGUUAAGUUUUUUUUUUUUGCCUUAGUAUAUGGUUAAUCCUAGAAAAUGUUCCAUGUUCACUUGAAAAGUUUGUUUAUUCUGUUUUUUUUAAAUAUAAUAUCCUGGAAAUAUCAAUUAAGUGUAACUGCUCUAUUGUGUCAUUUAGAAUCUCUGUUGCCUUAUUGAUUUUCCAUCUAUAAGAUCUGUUAUUUGCUAUGGGUGUACCAUUAUUGUAUUCCCAUCAAUUUUUCCUUAUAUGUCUGUUAGUAUUAUGUAUUUGGAUGUGCCUAUAUUAGUUGUAUACAUGUUGAUAAGUGUAAUAUCCUCUUCUUGAAUUAAUCCUUUUAAAAAUUUAAUUAUAGAAAUUAUAAUAAAAUUUUAAAUUAUUUACAAGGUUCUGUUAAUUUCUGCUCUACAGAAAAGUUACCCAGUUUCACAUAUACAUACCUUCUUCUGAAUUGAAACUUUUAUCAUUAACUUGUGUCCAUCUUUAUCUUUCUUUUGAGAUAUUGUUUUAAAGUCUAUUUUGCCUGAUAUAAGAAUUGUGGCUCCUAUUUUCUUGUCAUUUCGAUUUGCAUGAAGUAUCUUUUUUCCAUCACUUCAGUUUCAAUCUAUGUGUGUCCCAUCAAGUGUAUUAUAGCCUCCACACACUGAAGAAAGACAUAGCAAGCAUCCAAACCAAAAGCAGCCCUCACACACACACACACUCAAGAAAAAAAAAAA
This 6623-nucleotide long non-coding RNA is filed under the name Sus scrofa (pig). Its description in RNAcentral is "lncRNA (ENSSSCG00065011971.1)". The record is from RNAcentral. Lineage: Eukaryota; Metazoa; Chordata; Mammalia; Artiodactyla; Suidae.